GUCUGCUUGGGUAGUCAUAUAGGAUGAUGUCCAGCUGAACUAUCUGUCAUCUCUAUCUUGUUACCAGUCGUGAUGCUGAUGCCCAUCAGUGCCUGCUACCCUAAAGACAGGCUGAUGUGUUCAGCACACCACUAGGACCUGAUGGAGUCAAAUGGAGGCUCAAUGAGAUAUGAACUACAAACAAACAUCUGUCAAGUUUCAAUCUCUAAAUGUAACUGUUGCA
Erpetoichthys calabaricus (reedfish) is the source of this 223-nucleotide long non-coding RNA. RefSeq lists it as uncharacterized. The transcript has 2 exons. Lineage: Eukaryota; Metazoa; Chordata; Cladistia; Polypteriformes; Polypteridae. The record is from RefSeq and is a predicted model, not a curated record.